RNAcentral lists this ribosomal RNA (1312 nucleotides) under Arcobacter sp. Its description in RNAcentral is "partial 16S ribosomal RNA". It matches the Rfam family "Bacterial small subunit ribosomal RNA". Lineage: Bacteria; Pseudomonadati; Campylobacterota; Epsilonproteobacteria; Campylobacterales; Arcobacteraceae. The record is from RNAcentral.
GUCGACGAGAACGGGUAUUAGCUUGCUAAUACUGUCAGCUAAGUGGCGCACGGGUGAGUAAUAUAUAGGUAACAUGCCUUUUACAAAGAAAUAACAGUUGGAAACGACUGCUAAUGUCUUAUAUGCCUUUAGGACGUAAGUCUGCAAGGGAAAGAUUUAUCGGUAAAAGAUUGGCCUGUACAGUAUCAGUUAGUUGGUGGGGUAAUGGCCUACCAAGACAAUGACGCUUAACUGGUUUGAGAGGAGACUCCUACGGGAGGCAGCAGUGGGGAAUAUUGCACAAUGGACGAAAGUCUGAUGCAGCAACGCCGCGUGGAGGAUGACACAUUUCGGUGCGUAAACUCCUUUUAUAUAGGAAGAUAAUGACGGUACUAUAUGAAUAAGCGCCGGCUAACUCCGUGCCAGCAGCCGCGGUAAUACGGAGGGCGCAAGCGUUACUCGGAAUCACUGGGCGUAAAGAGCGUGUAGGCGGGUUAAUAAGUCAGAUGUGAAAGCCAAUAGCUCAACUAUUGAACUGCAUUUGAAACUGUUAACCUAGAGUAUGGGAGAGGUAGAUGGAAUUUCUGGUGUAGGGGUAAAAUCCGUAGAGAUCAGAAGGAAUACCGAUUGCGAAGGCGAUCUACUGGAACAUUACUGACGCUGAGACGCGAAAGCGUGGGGAGCAAACAGGAUUAGAUACCCUGGUAGUCCACGCCCUAAACGAUGUACACUAGUUGUUGCUAUACUAGAUAUAGCAGUAAUGCAGUUAACACAUUAAGUGUACCGCCUGGGGAGUACGGUCGCAAGAUUAAAACUCAAAGGAAUAGACGGGGACCCGCACAAGCGGUGGAGCAUGUGGUUUAAUUCGACGAUACGCGAAGAACCUUACCUGGACUUGACAUAGUAAGAAUGUUUUAGAGAUAGAACAGUGUCUGCUUGCAGAAACUUGCAUACAGGUGCUGCACGGCUGUCGUCAGCUCGUGUCGUGAGAUGUUGGGUUAAGUCCCGCAACGAGCGCAACCCUCGUCGUUAGUUGCUAACAGUUCGGCUGAGAACUCUAACGAGACUGCCUGGGUAACCAGGAGGAAGGUGAGGACCAGGGCUACACACGUGCUACAAUGGGGUAUACAAAGAGCAGCGAUACGGUGACGUGGAGCAAAUCUUAAAAAUAUCUCCCAGUUCGGAUAGUAGUCUGCAACUCGACUACUUGAAGUUGGAAUCGCUAGUAAUCGUAGAUCAGCAAUGCUACGGUGAAUACGUUCCCGGGUCUUGUACUCACCGCCCGUCACACCAUGGGAGUUGAUUUCAUUCGAAGCGGGGAUGCUAAAUAGCU